RNAcentral lists this ribosomal RNA (559 nucleotides) under uncultured bacterium. Its description in RNAcentral is "bacterial SSU rRNA". It matches the Rfam family "Bacterial small subunit ribosomal RNA", at positions 9 to 567 of the family's 1533-position model. The record is from RNAcentral.
GAGUUUGAUCCUGGCUCAGGACGAACGCUGGCGGCGUGCUUAACACAUGCAAGUCGAACGGAGUACCCUCGAAAGAGAUUUCGGUCAAUGGAGAGGACUACUUAGUGGCGGACGGGUGAGUAACGCGUGAGGAACCUGCCUUUCAGAGGGGGACAACAGUUGGAAACGACUGCUAAUACCGCAUAACGUAUUUGUGUCGCAUGGCAUGGAUACCAAAGAUUUAUCGCUGAGAGAUGGCCUCGCGUCUGAUUAGCUAGUUGGUAGGGUAACGGCCUACCAAGGCGACGAUCAGUAGCCGGACUGAGAGGUUGGCCGGCCACAUUGGGACUGAGAUACGGCCCAGACUCCUACGGGAGGCAGCGGUGGGGAAUAUUGCACAAUGGGGGAAACCCUGAUGCAGCAACGCCGCGUGAGUGAAGAAGUAUUUCGGUAUGUAAAGCUCUAUCAGCAGGGAAGAAGAAGGACGGUACCUGACUAAGAAGCCCCGGCUAACUACGUGCCAGCAGCCGCGGUAAUACGUAGGGGGCGAGCGUUAUCCGGAUUUACUGGGUGUAAAGGG